GAUGAACGCUGGCGGCGCGCCUAACACAUGCAAGUCGAACGAUUAAAGUACCUUCGGGUGUGUAUAAAGUGGCGAACGGCUGAGUAACACGUGGGCAACCUGCCCCUUUCAUUGGGAUAGCCACGGGAAACCGUGGAUAAUACCGAAUACUUCGAGACUUCCGCAUGGAAGACUCGAGAAAGCUCCGGCGGAGAGGGAUGGGCCCGCGGCCUGUUAGCUUGUUGGUGGGGUAACGGCCUACCAAGGCAAUGAUGGGUAGCUGGGUUGAGAGACCGACCAGCCAGAUUGGGACUGAGACACGGCCCAGACUCCUACGGGAGGCAGCAGUGGGGAAUCUUGCACAAUGGGCGAAAGCCUGAUGCAGCGACGCCGCGUGCGGGAUGAAGGCCUUCGGGUUGUAAACCGCUUUCAGCAGGGACGAGGCGAAAGUGACGGUACCUGCAGAAGAAGCCCCGGCUAACUACGUG
Molecule: ribosomal RNA, 467 nt
Filed under: uncultured bacterium
Lineage: Bacteria
Description: partial 16S ribosomal RNA
Rfam family: Bacterial small subunit ribosomal RNA
Source: RNAcentral